Molecule: ribosomal RNA, 125 nt
Filed under: Meloidogyne arenaria
Lineage: Eukaryota; Metazoa; Nematoda; Chromadorea; Rhabditida; Meloidogynidae
Source: RNAcentral
GAUUACGACCAUACCGCGUUGAAAGCACGCCAUCCCGUCCGAUCUGGCAAGUUAAGCAACGCUGGGCUUCCUUAGUACUUGGAACGGAGACGUCCUGGGAAUCGGGAGUGUCGUAAUCUUUUUUU